RNAcentral lists this long non-coding RNA (215 nucleotides) under Elaeis guineensis (African oil palm). Its description in RNAcentral is "long non-coding RNA (EGUI_LNC048997)". The record is from RNAcentral. Lineage: Eukaryota; Viridiplantae; Streptophyta; Magnoliopsida; Arecales; Arecaceae.
GCUGUGGACUCCACCUGACUCUUGAAGCUUCACCUCGUACUGGGCUCUUAAUCAGAUAAUAAUAUCUUCUGCUCCCCUUCUUCCCCUCCAGCACAAUCCUAUCGCCGCAUAGCACCUUCAGGAUUUCUCCAUCGGCUACCAUUUUGUAGGCUCUCGAAUCCAAUCUGCUCAGUGAGAUAAGAUUUCACCUGAAAUUGGGUAUGUAUCGGACCUCC